Elaeis guineensis (African oil palm) is the source of this 1042-nucleotide long non-coding RNA. RefSeq lists it as uncharacterized. Lineage: Eukaryota; Viridiplantae; Streptophyta; Magnoliopsida; Arecales; Arecaceae. The record is from RefSeq and is a predicted model, not a curated record.
UCCCAUCCCACUACCUCGAUGGUCUGCCCACUCGAGUCCCGUGCCACCAAAAGCCUCCCUACUUGCCUAAUCCGCCUCUCUCACGCGUCUCCCCUUUUGCCCCCGCCUCCUCCCUGCCCCCCUUUGCCUCCAUCUCUCUCACGCGUUCCCCCUCUCUCACGCCUCUCCCCGUUCUUUGCUUUCCUCGGUUAGUAGAGAUAUUCUGCCGUUGGCCGCCGCCACACCACUGACUUCGAACCUUCGGUCUUCGUCGCUGCUCCGGCAUCCUCCACCUAUCGCGAGCAAUGCUUCUACUCUGCACCAAGUCCCGAUCCUCCAUCCGGCGGUCGACGCCGCGCCGCUACUCUGUCCUCUGAGGCUGAUCCGGCGGUUCCUCACCUCUCUAGAGCAACAGCCCACCAGGACACCACCUAGCCCCAGUCUUCCAUCCGACGGCCGAUGGCACGCCGCUGACCUUCGAAACGUUGGCCUCCAUGGUUGAUCCGGUGAUUCCUCGCUUCAUCCUAUUUGAUGAAGUGAUAUUUCCAUUUUUUCCCUCUAUUCUCGAGCGAUAGAUGAGCUGGGUGAGAGCUCGAGCUCGGCUCGAUUUACGCUUGAAGACUGAUUAAGCCAAGUGUUUGAGGAAUUUUGCGACUCAACCAAAGUCAAGCGAAGCUAACGUUAAGGUAUUUUGGGUGGCUUGAGAUUCUGGGCUCAAUUCAUACAAACAUUUUCCAUUCUUGAAGGUUGCUGAUUUUGGGUGCUGAUUUUGGACCUUGCAGGUUGCUGAUUUUGGGUCUUGCAGGUUGCUGACUAACAACAUCAACUGAAGUUGGAAUUUUGCCAGAUCCAACUCGUGCUAUUCGGCCAAUUUGUUACCUAUUUGUGCAUAUGUUUGAUCUUUUGAAGAAUCAGUGUCUGUAUUUUUUUAUGUGAGCAAUUUUCUGUAAUGAUAGUUUGGACAUUAUGGAUGUAUGUUAUAGAUUAUUGUAUGUAUUGACAAUUUAUAUUUACAAUUAGAAGCAUUUGGAUGUACUUCACUUGCAAUAUGUCAAGUUUGAUU